Molecule: transfer RNA, 90 nt
Filed under: Oligoflexia bacterium
Lineage: Bacteria; Pseudomonadati; Bdellovibrionota; Oligoflexia
Description: tRNA-Ser
Rfam family: tRNA
About the family: Transfer RNA (tRNA) molecules are approximately 80 nucleotides in length. Their secondary structure includes four short double-helical elements and three loops (D, anti-codon, and T loops). Further hydrogen bonds mediate the characteristic L-shaped molecular structure. tRNAs have two regions of fundamental functional importance: the anti-codon, which is responsible for specific mRNA codon recognition, and the 3' end, to which the tRNAs corresponding amino acid is attached (by aminoacyl-tRNA synthetases). tRNAs cope with the degeneracy of the genetic code in two manners: having more than one tRNA (with a specific anti-codon) for a particular amino acid; and 'wobble' base-pairing, i.e. permitting non-standard base-pairing at the 3rd anti-codon position.
Source: RNAcentral
GGAGAGGUGGGAGAGUGGUUGAAUCCGCACGCCUCGAAAGCGUGUUAGCCUUAACGGGCUACGAGGGUUCGAAUCCCUCCCUCUCCGCCA